AGUGAACGCUGGCGGCGUGCCUAAUACAUGCAAGUCGAACGAAGUGGCGCACGGGUGAGUAAUCUAUUGUUAAUCUGCCCUACACAGAGGAACAACAGGUGGAAACGCCUGCUAAUACCUCAUAGUGUAGGGUGAGACUAUAUCGUAUCAGCUAGUUGGUAAGGUACUGGCUUACCAAGGCUAUGACGCGUAACAGGUCUGAGAGGAUGAUGAGUCAAAUUGGAAGUGAGACACGGUCCAAACUCCUACGGGAGGCAGCCGUAAGUCAUAUGGCGCAAGCGGGGAAACCCUGAAGCAGCAACGGAGCGUGAAGGAUGACACUUAGCGGAGCGUAAACUCCUUUUAUCAGGAAAGCGGUACCUGACCAAUAAGCACCGGCUAACUCCGUGCCAGCAGCCGCGGUAAUAC
RNAcentral lists this ribosomal RNA (408 nucleotides) under uncultured bacterium. RNAcentral describes it as "partial 16S ribosomal RNA". It matches the Rfam family "Bacterial small subunit ribosomal RNA", at positions 29 to 526 of the family's 1533-position model. The record is from RNAcentral.